Long non-coding RNA from Cygnus olor (mute swan), 140 nucleotides. RefSeq lists it as uncharacterized. The transcript is spliced from 3 exons. Lineage: Eukaryota; Metazoa; Chordata; Aves; Anseriformes; Anatidae. The record is from RefSeq and is a predicted model, not a curated record.
CUCUGAGGGAGGCUGUCCUGGCAGGCACUUAGCAGCAGCCUGGGGUCUUCAGCAGCUCCCUCGCUUCGCGGGUCGCCGGCAGGACCUCGAUGCCUUGCGUGUCGCUGUCUGGAUCUCGAUGCCUCGCGUGACACCAGCAG